GGUUGCGAUCAUACCAGCACUAACGCACCGGAUCCCAUCAGAACUCCGCAGUUAAGCGUGCUUGGGCGACAGUAGUACUAGGAUGGGUGACCCCCUGGGAAGUCCUCGUGUUGCAACCCC
Molecule: ribosomal RNA, 120 nt
Filed under: Helianthus annuus (common sunflower)
Lineage: Eukaryota; Viridiplantae; Streptophyta; Magnoliopsida; Asterales; Asteraceae
Source: RNAcentral